AAGAAGCUCUAUGACAUUGAUGUGGCC
This 27-nucleotide non-coding RNA is filed under the name Cricetulus griseus (Chinese hamster). Lineage: Eukaryota; Metazoa; Chordata; Mammalia; Rodentia; Cricetidae. The record is from RNAcentral.